Long non-coding RNA from Eupeodes corollae, 1279 nucleotides. RefSeq lists it as uncharacterized. Lineage: Eukaryota; Metazoa; Arthropoda; Insecta; Diptera; Syrphidae. The record is from RefSeq and is a predicted model, not a curated record. The transcript has 3 exons.
GGGCCCUAUUAUGACUCGCGAGUCGAACGUUCGACUCAAGUCGAACGAUUUGGCGAAUUGCCUAAGUCGUGGUAUUAUGAAAGGCGAACUUCGACGUUCGCUUUUGAAAACAAUAUUACCAACUUUAAGAAGUGAAAUAUGUAACGUCAUGACUCGGUGAAACGUCAAAGACUGAAAAUUAUUGUUGAUGAUAUAUUGUUUACAAUUUGGAAAAAAGUAAAAUAAAUAAAACAAAAUAUGAUAAGCAGUGUUGAUUUAUUUUUUUGAAGAUGAAGAUAAAAACGAAAGAGCGGAGAAAGUAUUGGUGUGUAGAUUACGAAGAAGUUUAAGGGACAACUCCAACCCACUUCAACUUCCAGAUAAUUUGUUUGUGUCAUAUUUUCGCGUUAAUAAGCAUGCAUUUGGUUAUAUUUUAAACAUCAUUACACCAGGAUUUAAAACUACUCAAAGUUCUGCAAUUCCACCAUAUAUAAAAGUUUCAGUAGUUCUAAGUGAAGUUACUUAUUACUUUUUUGAAAGGGCCAGAUUACCCAGAAUAGUGGGCUGUGUAGAUGGGACUCACAUUGGAAUAAUCGCUCCUGUUCAGCUACAACAUCAAUUUUUAAACAGAAAAGGAUUUUAUAGUUUGAAUGUUAGUGGUGGCCUGUGACAAUAAUGGAAUUAUAAGAUUUAUUGAUUCCAGAUAUCCAGGUUCAACACAUGACUCUUUUAUGUGGAAUCAUAUUGAAUUAAAGGAUCUUUUGGAAAGCUGGUGGUUGAAUGGAGAGCGGUCAAGAUAUCUAGGUGUGAAUAUAUUCCAUUCGUAGGUAAAGAAGUAAAUGGGCUAUUUUUAAGAACAAUUUUUUUUUCAAAAAUACCAGGCUUGGUUUUUUUUUUGAAGAUCCGAAAGAUCCUAUACCUUUCGCAUUUUCAAGGUUUGUCUCCAUAAUUUCAACGAGCUUUGAAAAUUGGUUGGAGUUGGUUCUUUUUAUGCUAGGUAUACAAAUAAAAUUCUAUAUUAUUUUUGCAAUUGUUAAGCAUUCAUUAAUUUUAAGCAUUCAUUACCUUUUUCUAUUUCCAGUGCAACUCAUUUUACUUUAUUUUCCAAAAUUAUUCUCAAAACAAAAUAAAACAAACAAACAACCACCGAUUUCAAAUUUAACAGUAAAUUUCUUCAAGUCACGAAGAAUUACAGUUCGACCGAUUCUGACAGAUAAAAGCGAACGUUCGCUAGUGGUAAUAGAGCGAGAUUUCAAUUCGCUAUUUUUUUGACAUUUUAGGCGAAUGUCAACUAGGCGAU